GACGAACGCUGGCGGCGUGCCUAAUACAUGCAAGUAGAACGCACAGUUUAUACCGUAGCUUGCUACACCAUAGACUGUGAGUUGCGAACGGGUGAGUAACGCGUAGGUAACCUGCCUGGUAGCGGGGGAUAACUAUUGGAAACGAUAGCUAAUACCGCAUAAUAUUAAUUAUUGCAUGAUAAUUGAUUGAAAGAUGCAACUGCAUCACUACCAGAUGGACCUGCGUUGUAUUAGCUAGUAGGUGAGGUAACGGCUCACCUAGGCGACGAUACAUAGCCGACCUGAGAGGGUGAUCGGCCACACUGGGACUGAGACACGGCCCAGACUCCUACGGGAGGCAGCAGUAGGGAAUCUUCGGCAAUGGACGAAAGUCUGACCGAGCAACGCCGCGGGAGUGAAGAAGGUUUUCGGAUCGUAAAGCUCUGUUGUAAGAGAAGAACGGGUGUGAGAGUGGAAAGUUCACACUGUGACGGUAUCUUACCAGAAAGGGACGGCUAACUACGUG
This 505-nucleotide ribosomal RNA is filed under the name uncultured bacterium. RNAcentral's name for it is "partial 16S ribosomal RNA". It matches the Rfam family "Bacterial small subunit ribosomal RNA", at positions 28 to 507 of the family's 1533-position model. The record is from RNAcentral.